UCACAAUUCCAUUUAUCACACAUUCUAUAUCUAUAUUUGAAGCUAAUAAGGAAUCGAGUCUCCAUGUGGCUGAUGAAGGCAAAAUUUACCUGUUUACUGCCCUAUGAAUGUAGUUAACAGAGUAAGCAGUGUGUCCUCAGGUGAUGAACUGACAAGAUGGGAAGCGUUUGGUGUACAAGGAACACUGCUGAAUCAUUUUAUCCAACUGGUUUAUACCAGUAGUAUACUUGUUGGUGAGGGAAGCAGUGAUAGCAGAGGCUUAGAAAUACUUAUCAAGCAAUGCGGUCAUGCUCUCACUUCAAGACUUCCCACAAUCUACUUGGACAACAGACAUAUCAGUUUAGUACCUUCUGCAUGUCCACUUUCAAUGAACUUGGAUUGUAAAUCCCCGAGUCUGAAUUGAGCACAAGGGAACAUUCUUUGGAGACUGUGAAUGACCUAAUGGCCUAAGUGGAAAGAUCACUGAAAGCUCCCAUUUAAAAAGGGAUGUGUCCACAGUAAGUCAGCUUUUUAAGGCUGCAAUGCUGAAUCCAUUAACCUGCUUGCCAAAAAAGCUAAAAAAGAUUUCCUCAAAGCUAAUGCAUAUCAUGCAGCUAAAGGAUAUGUCCAGAUCCAAUCAAGUAGCUAAAACUGUUAAAAUCCUACU
RNAcentral lists this long non-coding RNA (646 nucleotides) under Homo sapiens (human). Its description in RNAcentral is "non-protein coding lnc-SKA1-3:1". Lineage: Eukaryota; Metazoa; Chordata; Mammalia; Primates; Hominidae. The record is from RNAcentral.